This is an RNA transcript of Triticum aestivum (bread wheat), 1581 nucleotides long. RefSeq lists it as uncharacterized. The record is from RefSeq and is a predicted model, not a curated record. Lineage: Eukaryota; Viridiplantae; Streptophyta; Magnoliopsida; Poales; Poaceae. The transcript is spliced from 7 exons.
CUGCUGCCGUCGUUCAGCAUAACAAAUACAUGUCCUCCAGCCUCGUCGAAUCACGCGCUGGUGCUGCGCGCUGCUCUGCCCCAUCGGCGGCUUGCUAGUGCUGCGUGCGUUGCUCUGCUACUGUAGAGAGGAGAGCGCCUGGACGUACGCGGCGACGAAGUCGAGCUCUCGCGAGCUAAGCGACGGCCUCAAGGAGCGCGGCGGCGAGGAGGAGCUACCACCACCUGGCGCUGCGGCCAGCCCGCCCAUCGGCGCGGAGGCCAGCCAACGCGGCGGCGAGCUCCUGCCCCCGGCAACGGCUAGAGGCGGCCGGCAACCAGCUCCCCCGGCUGCGCGGAGGCCAGCACCGCGGCAGCGGCUAGAGGCGGCGCGCAGUGACGGGUGGAGGCGGCGCCCGGUCGCGGCUGUCGAGCUCCUGCCGGCGGCGGCAUGCUCCUCCUGCAAGGCCGUCGAGCUCCUGAGCUGGCGGUCACAGGAGCCGGUGCACACCAAGUGUUUGUUAAAAUGUCCAUCAGUAACUUAGCAGUCAACACAAACUGUCAAACAACUCAAUGCCAUGUCAGCCCUGAAGAGUGGGCCCAACCUGUCAUAAUCAGAUACAAGGCCAGGAUGCACAGGGGCGACUAGCAAAUGGUGCUCAGCAAAGUGCAGCUCAACAGUUCAGAUUUUGGCAGGACAUUCCAAUUUUAGUGAUGGUUAGCAUGCUUGCGUACUUCUGUUUCUUGGAACUACUUCUGGUUACUGAUUUGCAAUCACGCGCGAUUGCAGUUUCAUUGCCUUUCUCGUGUGUGUUGGGCCUCCUUUCUUCUUUGAUAGCAUCCACUAUGGUGACCAAAAGCUACCUAUGGGCCUAUUCAUCCUUCCAGCAUGUUAUUGUGAUCCUGUUUGCGUAUAUCUUUUACAACGUGCUAAGAGUGAAUGCAGUCCUGGCGGUCCUACUCUCGUCGUUCACUGGGUUCGGGAUCGCUAUCAGUACGAACUCACUGCUAGUGGAGUGCAUGAGGUGGAGAUCCAGGAGGAGGAGCCAACGGUUGGCUCAGGGUCAACCUCAGCCCGGGAAUGAAGGUCAGCAUCCAGGAUCCGGGAGUAACGCUACGAGCGAAAACUCUGGUGAUACGCAGCAACAGGGGCAGCCUCCACAAUCCGGUGUUCACAUCGUCUGAUCAUUCAGAUCAAGACGAGAGGUGAUCCAAAUGUGUGAAUAGCUAGCUUUGAUCUGCGCAGUAGUCAUAGCUCGUCAGACCUCAGAAUCACAAUGGUGGCAAGAAUAGAUACACGGGAGGAGAUCUUCCUGGCCUUUGCAUCGGAGGCAACGUGCCACCUAGAGUUUGGCCAUGGGUGUAGUUAGUCUAGCAGUUUGUGACAUAAAAUACCUAGUUUCUUGAGUGUAAGCAUUAUACAAAAUCACACCAGAAAAGCAGAGUGCAGAGAUGGUGGUUGUGUUUUACGUAGUAGCCACACAGGGACAUAGGGAAAUGAGACAUAGUAUGCGAGAGCUCCUUAGCUUUGCUUGUGAGAAGCUUUUACGAAUUAUAUUUGUCUUUUUUUUACGAAUUAUAUUUGUCAAGAGUGAUUUUUGAA